This 236-nucleotide ribosomal RNA is filed under the name uncultured bacterium. RNAcentral's name for it is "partial 16S ribosomal RNA". It matches the Rfam family "Bacterial small subunit ribosomal RNA", at positions 118 to 354 of the family's 1533-position model. The record is from RNAcentral.
UGGGCAACCUGCCCCAUAGAGGGGGACAACAGCUGGAAACGGCUGCUAAUACCGCAUAACAAGGAGAGAGCGCAUGUUCUUUUCUUCAAAGAUUUAUCGCUAUGGGAUGGACCCGCGUCUGAUUAGCUAGUUGGUGAGGUAACGGCUCACCAAGGCGACGAUCAGUAGCCGGCUUGAGAGAGUGAACGGCCACAUUGGGACUGAGACACGGCCCAGACUCCUACGGAAGGCAGCAG